Molecule: ribosomal RNA, 330 nt
Filed under: Oscillospira guilliermondii
Lineage: Bacteria; Bacillati; Bacillota; Clostridia; Eubacteriales; Oscillospiraceae
Description: bacterial SSU rRNA
Rfam family: Bacterial small subunit ribosomal RNA
Source: RNAcentral
GACGAACGCUGGCGGCGUGCUUAACACAUGCAAGUCGAACGGAGAGCCGAUGAAGGAGUUUUCGGACAACGGAGUCGGUUUCUUAGUGGCGGACUGGUGAGUAACGCGUGAGGAACCUGCCUCUCAGUGGGGGACAACGGCUGGAAACGGCUGCUAAUACCGCAUGACGCGUUUUCGGGACAUCCCGGGAACGCCAAAGAUUUUAUCGCUGAGAGAUGGCCUCGCGUCUGAUUAGCUUGUUGGCGGGGUAAUGGCCCACCAAGGCGACGAUCAGUAGCCGGACUGAGAGGUUGGCCGGCCACAUUGGGACUGAGAUACGGCCCAGACUCC